UGGUAGUNCACGCCGUAAACGAUGAGUGCUAGGUGUUAGGCCCUUUCCGGGGCUUAGUGCCGGAGCUAACGCAAUAAACACUCCGCCUGGGGAGUACGACCGCAAGGUUGAAACUCAAAGGAAUUGACGGGGGCCCGCACAAGCGGUGGAGCAUGUGGUUUAAUUCGAAGCAACGCGAAGAACCUUACCAGGUCUUGACAUCCCGAUGCUAUUCUUAGAGAUAGGAAGUUACUUCGGUACAUCGGAGACAGGUGGUGCAUGGUUGUCGUCAGCUCGUGUCGUGAGAUGUUGGGUUAAGUCCCGCAACGAGCGCAACCCUUAUUGUUAGUUGCCAUCAUUAAGUUGGGCACUCUAGCGGGACUGCCGGUAAUAAACCGGAGGAAGGUGGGGAUGACGUCAAAUCAUCAUGCCCCUUAUGACCUGAGCUACACACGUGCUACAAUGGUCGGUACAACGAGUUGCGAGCCGGUGACGGCAAGCUAAUCUCUGAAAGCCGAUCUCAGUUCGGAUUGGAGGCUGCAACUCGCCUCCAUGAAGUCGGAAUCGCUAGUAAUCGCGGAUCAGCACGCCGCGGUGAAUACGUUCCCGGGCCUUGUACACA
RNAcentral lists this ribosomal RNA (601 nucleotides) under uncultured bacterium. RNAcentral's name for it is "bacterial SSU rRNA". It matches the Rfam family "Bacterial small subunit ribosomal RNA", at positions 788 to 1389 of the family's 1533-position model. The record is from RNAcentral.